This 773-nucleotide ribosomal RNA is filed under the name uncultured Streptococcus sp. RNAcentral describes it as "bacterial SSU rRNA". It matches the Rfam family "Bacterial small subunit ribosomal RNA", at positions 28 to 776 of the family's 1533-position model. The record is from RNAcentral. Lineage: Bacteria; Bacillati; Bacillota; Bacilli; Lactobacillales; Streptococcaceae.
GACGAACGCCGGCGGCGUGCCUAAUACAUGCAAGUAGAACGCACAGUUUAUACCGUAGCUUGCUACACCAUAAACUGUGAGUUGCGAACGGGUGAGUAACGCGUAGGUAACCUGCCUGGUAGCGGGGGAUAACUAUUGGAAACGAUAGCUAAUACCGCAUAAUAUUGAUUAUUGCAUGAUAAUUGAUUGAAAGAUGCAACUGCAUCACUACCAGAUGGACCUGCGUUGUAUUAGCUAGUAGGUGAGGUAACGGCUCACCUAGGCGACGAUACAUAGCCGACCUGAGAGGGUGAUCGGCCACACUGGGACUGAGACACGGCCCAGACUCCUACGGGAGGCAGCAGUAGGGAAUCUUCGGCAAUGGACGAAAGUCUGACCGAGCAACGCCGCGUGAGUGAAGAAGGUUUUCGGAUCGUAAAGCUCUGUUGUAAGAGAAGAACGGGUGUGAGAGUGGAAAGUUCACACUGUGACGGUAUCUUACCAGAAAGGGACGGCUAACUACGUGCCAGCAGCCGCGGUAAUACGUAGGUCCCGAGCGUUGUCCGGAUUUAUUGGGCGUAAAGCGAGCGCAGGCGGUUAGAUAAGUCUGAAGUUAAAGGCUGUGGCUUAACCAUAGUACGCUUUGGAAACUGUUUAACUUGAGUGCAGAAGGGGAGAGUGGAAUUCCAUGUGUAGCGGUGAAAUGCGUAGAUAUAUGGAGGAACACCGGUGGCGAAAGCGGCUCUCUGGUCUGUAACUGACGCUGAGGCUCGAAAGCGUGGGGAGCGAACAGG